Molecule: ribosomal RNA, 117 nt
Filed under: Sinocyclocheilus anshuiensis
Lineage: Eukaryota; Metazoa; Chordata; Actinopteri; Cypriniformes; Cyprinidae
Source: RNAcentral
UCUGGCAGCCAUAUCACCCUGUAGCCCAAGACUGGUUGCCCACUGAAGCUAAGCAGGGCUGAGCCUGGUCAGUACCUGAAUGGGAGACCUCCUGGGAAAACUAGGUUGCUGCUGGAA